UAUGUUUUUCUACUCACAUAAAGAGUACAUAACAUUCCCUCAGACGAGCUGAGAGUAGAGAGGCCGGGCUUCCUUCCCCAUGGGAGAGGUGGUUAAGAAAGGAGCCUCACCUAGACUGCCCUUGCCUCACAUUA
Molecule: non-coding RNA, 134 nt
Organism: Myotis myotis
Lineage: Eukaryota; Metazoa; Chordata; Mammalia; Chiroptera; Vespertilionidae
Product: small Cajal body-specific RNA 21
Exons: 1
Source: RefSeq, a predicted model, not a curated record